Molecule: long non-coding RNA, 305 nt
Filed under: Anas platyrhynchos platyrhynchos (common mallard)
Lineage: Eukaryota; Metazoa; Chordata; Aves; Anseriformes; Anatidae
Description: lncRNA (ENSAPLG00000030842.1)
Source: RNAcentral
GUUUUGCUGUAGUAGAUUACUUGGAACUUCCUCCUCCUUACUUCUUGAUGGGAUCAACGCUUCUCAGGAAGAGCUUCCACAAGUGCAAGAUCACAUUGAAAUGGAAGAAGGGUGUCUCUUGUUCCCAGGUUUCAUCCAGUUUGGUAAAAUUGCUGGAUCUACUCCUACUGCAAGCAGACAAAGUUAUCCAUUUUCCUUCUCCUUCAGUCAUACUGUCAUAUACCUGCAUGUAAGUUAUGUCACUGUACCUUGUCUAGACUUAUUAGUUAAAUAAAUAAAUAAAUAAAAUGGUUAUGGGUAAGGUG